RNAcentral lists this unclassified non-coding RNA (240 nucleotides) under soil metagenome. Its description in RNAcentral is "partial contains 5.8S ribosomal RNA, internal transcribed spacer 2, and large subunit ribosomal RNA". The record is from RNAcentral.
AACGCACGAGACCUGCGGACCUGCGGAGGGAUCAUUACCGAGUUUACAACUCCCAAACCCAAUGUGAACGUUACCAAACUGUUGCCUCGGCGGGAUCUCUGCCCCGGGUGCGUCGCAGCCCCGGACCAAGGCGCCCGCCGGAGGACCAACCAAAAACUCUUUUUGUAUACCCCCUCGCGGGUUUUUUAUAUCUGAGCCUAUCUCGGCGCCCCUUCGUGGGCGUUUCGAAAAUGAAUCAAA